This 447-nucleotide ribosomal RNA is filed under the name uncultured bacterium. RNAcentral's name for it is "SSU rRNA". It matches the Rfam family "Bacterial small subunit ribosomal RNA", at positions 26 to 518 of the family's 1533-position model. The record is from RNAcentral.
AGAGCGAACGCUGGCGGCAGGCCUAACACAUGCAAGUCGAGCGCCCGUAGCAAUACGGGAGCGGCAGACGGGAUAGUAACACGUGGGAACGCGCCCUUCGGUUCGGAAUAACUCAGGGAAACUUGAGCUAAUACCGAACACGCCCUUACGGGGAAAGAUUUAUUGCCGAAGGAACGGCCCGCGUCCGAUUAGCUAGUUGGUGAGGUAAUGGCUCACCAAGGCUACGAUCGGUAGCUGGUCUGAGAGGAUGACCAGCAUCACUGGGACUGAGACACGGCCCAGACUCCUACGGGAGGCAGCAGUGGGGAAUAUUGGACAAUGGGCGCAAGCCUGAUCCAGCCAUGCCGCGUGGAUGAUGAAGGCCUUAGGGUUGUAAAGUCCUUUUAACGGGGAAGAUAAUGACGGUACCGUAGAAUAAGCCCCGGCUAACUUCGUGCCAGCAGCCGC